GACGAACGCUGGCGGCGUGCUUAACACAUGCAAGUCGAACGGAAAGGCCCUGCUUUUGUGGGGUGCUCGCGUGGCGAACGGGUGUGUAACCCGUGAGUAACCUGCCCUUGACUUUGGGAUAACUUCAGGAAACUGCUGCUAAUACCUGAUAGGAGCUCCUGCUGCAUGGUGGGGGUUGGAAAGUUUCGGCGGUUGGGGAUGGACUCGCGGCUUAUCAGCUUGUUGGUGGGGUAGUUGCUUACCAAGGCUUUGACGGGUAGCCGGCCUGAGAGGGUGGACGGGGACAAUGGGACUGAGAGACGGACCAGACGCGAACGGGAGGCAGCAGGGGGGAAUAUUGCACAAUGGGGGGAAGCGUGAUGCAACAACGCCGCGAGCGGGAUGACGGCCUUCGGGUUGUAAACCGCUUUCGGCUGUGACGAAGCGGGAGUGACGGUAAUGGGUAAAGAAGCACCGGCUAACUACGUG
Molecule: ribosomal RNA, 468 nt
Filed under: uncultured bacterium
Lineage: Bacteria
Description: partial 16S ribosomal RNA
Rfam family: Bacterial small subunit ribosomal RNA
Source: RNAcentral